RNAcentral lists this ribosomal RNA (472 nucleotides) under uncultured bacterium. RNAcentral's name for it is "bacterial SSU rRNA". It matches the Rfam family "Bacterial small subunit ribosomal RNA", at positions 8 to 524 of the family's 1533-position model. The record is from RNAcentral.
AGAGUUUGAUCCUGGCUCAGAACGAACGCUGGCGGCAGGCUUAACACAUGCAAGUCGAACGCGUGCAGCAAUGCACGAGUGGCGCACGGGUGAGUAACGCGUGGAUAUCUGCCUUUUGGUUCGGAAUAACCCCGGGAAACUGGGGCUAAUACCGGAUGGUUCCUGCGGGAUAAAGAUUUAUCGCCAAAAGAUGAGUCCGCGUACGAUUAGCUAGUUGGUGAGGUAAUGGCUCACCAAGGCGACGAUCGUUAGCUGGUCUGAGAGGACGAUCAGCCACACUGGGACUGAGACACGGCCCAGACUCCUACGGGAGGCAGCAGUGGGGAAUAUUGGACAAUGGGGGCAACCCUGAUCCAGCCAUGCCGCGUGAGUGAUGAAGGCCUUCGGGUUGUAAAGCUCUUUUGGCGGGGACGAUGAUGACGGUACCCGCAGAAUAAGCCCCGGCUAACUUCGUGCCAGCAGCCGCGGUAAU